UACGUAGGGGGCAAGCGUUGUCCGGAUUUAUUGGGCGUAAAGAGCGUGUAGGCGGCCAUGUAGGUCCGUUGUGAAAACUCGAGGCUCAACCUCGAGACGCCGAUGGAAACCAUCUAGCUAGAGUCCGGAAGAGGAGAGUGGAAUUCCUGGUGUAGCGGUGAAAUGCGCAGAUAUCAGGAAGAACACCCGUGGCGAAGGCGGCUCUCUGGUACGUGACUGACGCUGAGACGCGAAAGCGUGGGGAGCGAACAGG
This 253-nucleotide ribosomal RNA is filed under the name uncultured bacterium. RNAcentral's name for it is "partial 16S ribosomal RNA". It matches the Rfam family "Bacterial small subunit ribosomal RNA", at positions 524 to 776 of the family's 1533-position model. The record is from RNAcentral.